CGCGGCCUAUCAGCUUGUUGGUGGGGUGAUGGCCUACCAAGGCGACGACGGGUAGCCGGCCUGAGAGGGUGUCCGGCCACACUGGGACUGAGAUACGGCCCAGACUCCUACGGGAGGCAGCAGUGGGGAAUAUUGCACAAUGGGCGCAAGCCUGAUGCAGCGACGCCGCGUGGGGGAUGACGGCCUUCGGGUUGUAAACCUCUUUCACCAUCGGCGAAGCCGGGAGCUUUUGUUUCUGGUGACGGUAGGUGGAGAAGAAGCACCGGCCAACUACGUGCCAGCAGCCGCGGUAAUACGUAGGGUGCGAGCGUUGUCCGGAAUUACUGGGCGUAAAGAGCUCGUAGGUGGUUUGUCGCGUUGUCCGUGAAAUUCCCUGGCUUAACUGGGGGCG
RNAcentral lists this ribosomal RNA (391 nucleotides) under uncultured bacterium. RNAcentral's name for it is "bacterial SSU rRNA". It matches the Rfam family "Bacterial small subunit ribosomal RNA", at positions 232 to 621 of the family's 1533-position model. The record is from RNAcentral.